This 706-nucleotide long non-coding RNA is filed under the name Homo sapiens (human). RNAcentral's name for it is "HSALNT0235294". Lineage: Eukaryota; Metazoa; Chordata; Mammalia; Primates; Hominidae. The record is from RNAcentral.
AGCCAGGAAGCCAGUCCGAGUCCCAAAUUCCAGGCGGUGAAAUGGCAGCUGAACUGACAUUCAUUCAUUCAUUCAUUCAUCAAUCAAUCAUUCAUUCACCCCCACCAGCCUGCAGAGGUCCAAAAACAGAAAGCACAGCCUUGCCGAGCUGAGAAACAGGGAUUAGAGUUUGAGGCUCCAAACCUGCUGGGGCCUGAGGGAACUUGGAGAAAGAGCCCAAAGCCCUGAGUGCAAAUCCCCUUCAGGCCGUGGCCGCCCCCUAAGCUGAAUAUGCCCCCAAGAAACUCCAAGAAACCCAACAGAAAAGGCUCCCGGGAGGAUGGAGAGCUGAGCAGGGGUGUUGGCAGCUGCGACGGGCUGGAGACCAAGCCCUGUGGGGGGCGGGGGCUGGUGACCAUCACAGGCUUUCCCUUGGGAGCACAGAAGUUCCACUCCCUGGGAACAAGGGCUGUAACCCCCAAAGCCAGUCUGGACAGGGCUAACCUGGGCGCGAUGGCUCAUGCCUGUAAUCGCAGAGCAAAAAAAAAGAAUAAGAAAAGUUACAAGGUGUCUUAGUCUGUUACCUGUUGCUAUAGCUUAAGAGUGGGUAAUUUAUAGAGAAGAGAGGUUUGUUUCUUACAGUUCUGAAGGCUGGAGGUCCAAGAGCAUGGCGCUGGGCAAGAGCACGCCAGCCCAAGUCUCUCUUUCUCUUCUUUUCUUUCAAGAU